CGAUUUUCCAACAUGGCGGACGGAGGUAGUGAAGACAUUUUGGAAGCAAACGUUCAACAACAACUUUCUAGGAUCGUGAAAGGCCACAGUUGACUUGUACUGAUGUAGAUAAGAGGUGCCAUGGUGUGCGGUUGUUGUCUGAAGUCUUGCAUCGCCUUGUUGGGUUUCAAUUUAAAGAAAAAGAAGUGGCAUUGUUUUGUGAAUUUCUGUGUGAUAGACUCAAGGAUCACUACACCAUUAUUCCUCAUGCCUUGUUUGGUAUUCUUGCCUUGGUAUGUGGACUUUAUUAUUUUUGGCUGAGAAAAAUAUCUUCCUCCAAAACCUAACAACCCAAUCAAUUACUUCAGAUACCUUCCCUAACAGAUCGAUUUGAAAUUCUUGAUGAUGUGUCAAGGCUUUACCUGUUGAUAAGGUGUAUGUUGUGUUAGGGUCAUUCCACAGUAUUUUGCAUGUCACGGAGGGGACAAUUCAGAGGAGAAUAUCAUGGAUAGCUCCCCAGCUUAAUAUAACUCAGUUCACUGAGGACUUCUAAUGGACAGAACAGCUAAUGAUUGUUUUAAAUCAAACUAUUUCCAAACAACUUCU
Molecule: long non-coding RNA, 585 nt
Organism: Stylophora pistillata
Lineage: Eukaryota; Metazoa; Cnidaria; Anthozoa; Scleractinia; Pocilloporidae
Source: RefSeq, a predicted model, not a curated record